RNAcentral lists this ribosomal RNA (251 nucleotides) under uncultured Flavobacterium sp. RNAcentral's name for it is "partial 16S ribosomal RNA". It matches the Rfam family "Bacterial small subunit ribosomal RNA", at positions 524 to 774 of the family's 1533-position model. Lineage: Bacteria; Pseudomonadati; Bacteroidota; Flavobacteriia; Flavobacteriales; Flavobacteriaceae. The record is from RNAcentral.
UACGGAGGAUCCAAGCGUUAUCCGGAAUCAUUGGGUUUAAAGGGUCCGUAGGCGGUUUUAUAAGUCAGUGGUGAAAUCCGGCAGCUUAACUGUCGAACUGCCAUUGAUACUGUAGAACUUGAAUUAUUAUGAAGUAACUAGAAUAUGUAGUGUAGCGGUGAAAUGCUUAGAGAUUACAUGUAAUACCAAUUGCGAAGGCAGGUUACUAAUAAUACAUUGACGCUGAUGGACGAAAGCGUGGGUAGCGAACA